UACUAGCACUUCAGUAUUCAGGGUGGGACUGAGAGUGCUCUGUGUGUUAAGGUGCCUGCCCACUCUUGUGUGAUGGAGGUUUUUGUAUGGCGACUUAACCAUUAUGAAUCAUUGUGGUGGACUUUUGGAAGCGGAACAAAAGUAGUGCUGAAAACUGGUUCCUCUAUCAGACCCACAGUGUCUCUGCUCCCCCCGUCCUCUGAGCAGCUCUUCGGGGGCUCGGCCACACUGGCCUGCCUGCUGAGUGGCUACUCCCCCCAGGGGGCGAUGGUGAGCUGGGAGGUGGAUGGGGAGGAGGUGAAGGAUGGGGUCCUGACCACCACAGAAGAAGAGAAGGGUGGCCACUACAGCCGCAGCAGCACCCUGACCCUGAGCAAGGCACGCUGGGAAGAGGGAGAGGUGUACACUUGCAGGGUCGCCCAUGACGACACCAGUGAUUCGGCCACCUUCCGGAAAAGUCACUGUAGUGUCUAGAAACCGGAGAAGCCAUUGUAGGGGCCUAGAGAGUCCCCACAUGGUGCCGGUGAAGGAAAUAUUACUGUUUUACAGCUGAAUGUUACAGUAUAGUAGUGAAUCAUUUCAGGAGUGAUGUGUGCUAAAUGAAGUAUGUUGUGAUUCAGUUGUAAAGGUCAUCUUGCUUCUGAGUUCAAAUAAAGCUUGUUUUAAUUGAA
This is a non-coding RNA of Oncorhynchus masou masou (cherry salmon), 671 nucleotides long. Lineage: Eukaryota; Metazoa; Chordata; Actinopteri; Salmoniformes; Salmonidae. The record is from the annotation of a RefSeq genome assembly.